GAAAAGUCCAAUUCUGAUGAGAAACCUAAUAAAGACUCAUCUGAGGGAAAGACUAAUGCUAAAGCAAGUGAAAAUGGCUCAACAACAGAUGGAACAAGGGAUGGACAGCAGAGAACUCAAAGAUCUAAAAGAGGCAGUCGAUCCAUGAGGCAGAAACUAUUGACUGAUGUGGACCUUAGGUGCAAAUUAGUUGACUUUGGCAAUGCAUGCUGGACGUAUAAACAAUUCACAAGUGAUAUCCAGACAAGACAGUAUAGAUGUCCUGAGGUUAUCCU
This 275-nucleotide unclassified non-coding RNA is filed under the name Hevea brasiliensis (rubber tree). The record is from RNAcentral. Lineage: Eukaryota; Viridiplantae; Streptophyta; Magnoliopsida; Malpighiales; Euphorbiaceae.